UCGUGACUGCGUGCCUUUUGAAGAAUGAGCCUGCGAGUUUGCGGUGUGUUGCGAGGUUAACCCGUGUGGGGAAGCCGUAGCGAAAGCGAGUCCGAACAGGGCGCUGUAGUAGCACGCUCAAGACCCGAAGCGGAGUGAUCUAGCCAUGGGCAGGUUGAAGCGGCUGUAAGAGGUCGUGGAGGACCGAACCCACCAGGGUUGAAAACCUGGGGGAUGACCUGUGGUUAGGGGUGAAAGGCCAAUCAAACUCCGUGAUAGCUGGUUCUCCCCGAAAUGCAUUUAGGUGCAGCGUCGUGUGUUUCUUGCCGGAGGUAGAGCACUGGAUAGGCGAUGGGCCUUACCGGGUUACUGACCUUAGCCAAACUCCGAAUGCCGGUAAGUGAGAGCACGGCAGUGAGACUGUGGGGGAUAAGCUCCAUGGUCGAGAGGGAAACAGCCCAGAGCAUCGACUAAGGCCCCUAAGCGUACGCUAAGUGGGAAAGGAUGUGGAGUCGCAGAGACAACCAGGAGGUUGGCUUAGAAGCAGCCACCCUUGAAAGAGUGCGUAAUAGCUCACUGGUCUAGUGAUUCCGCGCCGACAAUGUAGCGGGGCUCAAGCGUACCGCCGAAGUCGUGUCAUUGCAGCAUUACUCCCAACGGAGGCUGUGAUGGGUAGGGGAGCGUCGUGUGCCGGGUGAAGCUGCCGCGUAAGCGAGUGGUGGACGGUUCACGAGUGAGAAUGCAGGCAUGAGUAGCGAUUCACACGUGAGAAACGUGUGCGCCGAUUGACUAAGGGUUCCUGGGUCAAGCUGAUCUGCCCAGGGUAAGUCGGGACCUAAGGCGAGGCCGACAGGCGUAGUCGAUGGAUAACCGGUUGAUAUUCCGGUACCCGCUGUGAAGCGUCAAACAUUGAAUCCAGUGAUGCUAAGCCCGUGAAGCCGCCCUGAUCUCUUCGGAGUUGAGGGGAGUGGUGGAGCCGGUGACCCAGGCUGGUAGUAGGUGAGUGAUGGGGUGACGCAGGAAGGUAGUCCAUCCCGGGCGGUGGUUGUCCCGGGGUAAGGGUGUAGGACGUUGGGUAGGUAAAUCCGCCUGGCACAUAGUCUGAGACCUGAUGCCGAGCCGAUUGUGGUGAAGUGGAUGAUCCUAUGCUGUCGAGAAAAGCCUCUAGCGAGUUUCAUGGCGGCCCGUACCCUAAACCGACUCAGGUGGUCUGGUAGAGAAUACCGAGGCGUUCGGGUGAACUAUGGUUAAGGAACUCGGCAAAAUGCCCCCGUAACUUCGGGAGAAGGGGGGCCACACCUGGUGAUCCGAUUUACUCGGUGAGCUGGGGGUGGCCGCAGAGACCAGCGAGAAGCGACUGUUUACUAAAAACACAGGUCCGUGCGAAGCCGUAAGGCGAUGUAUACGGACUGACGCCUGCCCGGUGCUGGAACGUUAAGGGGACCGGUUAGCUGACUUUCGGGUUGGCGAAGCUGAGAACUUAAGCGCCAGUAAACGGCGGUGGUAACUAUAACCAUCCUAAGGUAGCGAAAUUCCUUGUCGGGUAAGUUCCGACCUGCACGAAUGGCGUAACGACUUCUCGACUGUCUCAACCAUAGGCCCGGUGAAAUUGCAUUACGAGUAAAGAUGCUCGUUUCGCGCAGCAGGACGGAAAGACCCCGGGACCUUUACUACAGUUUGAUAUUGGUGUUCGGUUCGGCUUGUGUAGGAUAGGUGGGAGACUGUGAAGCGGCCACGCCAGUGGUUGUGGAGUCGUUGUUGAAAUACCACUCUGGUCGUGCUGGAUGUCUAACCCGGGUCCGUGAUCCGGAUCGGGGACAGUGUCUGAUGGGUAGUUUAACUGGGGCGGUUGCCUCCUAAAGAGUAACGGAGGCGCCCAAAGGUUCCCUCAGCCUGGUUGGUAAUCAGGUGGUGAGUGUAAGUGCACAAGGGAGCUUGACUGUGAGACCGACGGGUCGAGCAGGGACGAAAGUCGGGACUAGUGAUCCGGCGGUGGCUUGUGGAAGCGCCGUCGCUCAACGGAUAAAAGGUACCCCGGGGAUAACAGGCUGAUCUUCCCCAAGAGUCCAUAUCGACGGGAUGGUUUGGCACCUCGAUGUCGGCUCGUCGCAUCCUGGGGCUGGAGUCGGUCCCAAGGGUUGGGCUGUUCGCCCAUUAAAGCGGUACGCGAGCUGGGUUUAGAACGUCGUGAGACAGUUCGGUCCCUAUCCGCUGUGCGCGUAGGAAUAUUGAGAAGGGCUGUCCCUAGUACGAGAGGACCGGGACGGACGAACCUCUGGUGUGCCAGUUGUUCUGCCAAGGGCAUGGCUGGUUGGCUACGUUCGGGAGGGAUAACCGCUGAAAGCAUCUAAGCGGGAAGCCUGCUUCGAGAUGAGUAUUCCCACCUCCUUGAGAGGGUAAGGCUCCCAGUAGACGACUGGGUUGAUAGGCCGGAUAUGGAAGCCCUGUAAGGGGUGGAGUUGACCGGUACUAAUAGGCCGAGGGCUUGUCCUC
This 2472-nucleotide ribosomal RNA is filed under the name Streptomyces sp. SolWspMP-sol7th. RNAcentral's name for it is "bacterial LSU rRNA". It matches the Rfam family "Bacterial large subunit ribosomal RNA", at positions 591 to 2925 of the family's 2925-position model. Lineage: Bacteria; Bacillati; Actinomycetota; Actinomycetes; Kitasatosporales; Streptomycetaceae. The record is from RNAcentral.